AACUAACUCUUUCUUCAUGCCUAACACAUGCAAGUCGAACGAGACCUUCGGGUCUAGUGGCGCACGGGUGCGUAACGCGUGGGAACCUGCCCUUAGGUUCGGAAUAACUCCCCGAAAGGGGUGCUAAUACCGGAUAAUGUCUUCGGACCAAAGAUUUAUCGCCUUUGGAUGGGCCCGCGUUGGAUUAGCUAGUUGGUAGGGUAAAAGCCUACCAAGGCGACGAUCCAUAGCUGGUCUGAGAGGAUGAUCAGCCACACUGGGACUGAGACACGGCCCAGACUCCUACGGGAGGCAGCAGUGGGGAAUAUUGGACAAUGGGCGAAAGCCUGAUCCAGCAAUGCCGCGUGAGUGAUGAAGGCCUUAGGGUUGUAAAGCUCUUUUACCCGGGAUGAUAAUGACAGUACCGGGAGAAUAAGCUCCGGCUAACUCCGUG
This 433-nucleotide ribosomal RNA is filed under the name uncultured bacterium. RNAcentral describes it as "partial 16S ribosomal RNA". It matches the Rfam family "Bacterial small subunit ribosomal RNA", at positions 29 to 507 of the family's 1533-position model. The record is from RNAcentral.